This 253-nucleotide ribosomal RNA is filed under the name uncultured bacterium. RNAcentral's name for it is "partial 16S ribosomal RNA". It matches the Rfam family "Bacterial small subunit ribosomal RNA", at positions 524 to 776 of the family's 1533-position model. The record is from RNAcentral.
UACGAAGGGGGCUAGCGUUGCUCGGAAUGACUGGGCGUAAAGGGCGCGUAGGCGGAUGGCACAGUCAGAUGUGAAAUUCCCGGGCUUAACCUGGGGGCUGCAUUUGAUACGUGUUGUCUUGAGUUCGGAAGAGGGUCGUGGAAUUCCCAGUGUAGAGGUGAAAUUCGUAGAUAUUGGGAAGAACACCGGUGGCGAAGGCGGGUCUCUGGGCCGAUACUGACGCUGAGGAGCGAAAGCGUGGGGAGCGAACAGG